Molecule: RNA transcript, 2619 nt
Organism: Poecile atricapillus (Black-capped chickadee)
Lineage: Eukaryota; Metazoa; Chordata; Aves; Passeriformes; Paridae
Gene: CACNB1
Gene name: calcium voltage-gated channel auxiliary subunit beta 1
Exons: 13
Source: RefSeq, a predicted model, not a curated record
CCCAGCCCUGCGCCCGCCCCGCUCGCCCCCGGCCCUGCCACCAUGGAGAUCCCCGGCAAAGACCACCCCGCUGCCCCGGGCUCGGCUGAGUCCUACACCAGCCGCCCCUCGGACUCGGAUGUGUCGCUGGAGGAGGACCGCGAGGCGCUGCGCAAGGAGGCCGAGCGCCAGGCCAUGGCUCAGCUGGAGAAAGCCAAGACGAAGCCGGUGGCGUUCGCCGUGCGCACCAACGUGGGCUACAACCCCUCGGCCACCGACGACGUCCCCGUGCAGGGCAUGGCCAUCUGCUUCGAGCCCAAGGACUUCCUGCACAUCAAGGAGAAGUACAACAACGACUGGUGGAUCGGGCGGCUGGUGAAGGAGGGCUGCGAGGUGGGCUUCAUCCCCAGCCCCGUCAAGCUGGAGAACAUGCGGCUGCUGCAGGAGCAGAAGAUGAGGCAGAACCGCCUGAGCUCGAGCAAAUCCACAGACAACUCCAGCUCCAGCCUGGGCGAUGUGGUGACGGGGACCCGCCGGCCCACGCCCCCGGCCAGCGGUGGCCUGGACAUGCCUAGCUUUGCCUUUGAUCCCGAUGAGUUAGAGGAGGAGGAGGCCAUGGAGACCCAGCGCUCCCCUAAGAGUAGCGUGAGCAGUGUCACCACCCCCCCCGCCCACAACAAGCGCAUCCCCUUCUUUAGGAAGACCGAGCACGUGCCCCCGUACGACGUGGUGCCCUCCAUGCGCCCCAUCAUCCUCGUGGGGCCGUCGCUGAAGGGCUACGAGGUCACGGACAUGAUGCAGAAAGCGCUGUUCGACUUCCUGAAGCAUCGCUUUGAUGGCAGGAUCUCCAUCACGCGGGUGACAGCCGACAUCUCCCUGGCCAAGCGCUCCGUGCUCAACAACCCCAGCAAGCACACGAUCAUCGAGCGCUCCAGCACCCGCUCCAGCCUGGCCGAGGUCCAGAGUGAGACCGAGCGGAUUUUCGAGCUGGCCCGGACGCUGCAGUUGGUGGCCCUGGACGCCGACACCAUCAACCACCCGGCCCAGCUGGCCAAGACCUCCCUGGCCCCCAUCAUCGUCUACAUCAAAAUCACCUCCCCCAAGGUGCUGCAGAGGCUGGUGAAGUCCAGGGGGAAGUCCCAGGCCAAGCACCUCAACGUGCAGAUGGUGGCCUCGGACAAGCUGGCACAGUGCCCGCCUGAGAUGUUUGACAUCGUGCUGGACGAGAACCAGCUGGAGGAGGCCUGCGAGCACCUGGCCGAGUACCUGGAGGCUUACUGGAAGGCCACGCACCCGCCCAGCAGCAACCCCCCGAACCCGCUGCUGAACCGCACCAUGGCCACGGCCGCGCUGGCCGCCAGCCCCGCGCCCGUCUCCAACCUCCAGGUACAGGUGCUCACCUCCCUGCGCAGGAACCUCAACCUCUGGGGCCGCGAGGCCACCCCCAGCCCCCCCGGACCCCUCGAGGAGCACGCGCUGUGAGGCGGCGGAGGGGACGGCGGGGACAUCCCCACCCCCCCCCAAAGCUCGGGGGACCCCGGGAUCGGGGAUGGUGUCACAGCCCCCCCAGGUGUGGGGCGGUCCCUGAGGUCACCUGCUCCAGGGGGAUGUUCUGCACUCUGGGGUUGGGGGCUCCAGGGGAACCACGGUCCCUCGGGUGUGGGAUUGUCCCUGGGGUCACCUGUCCUGGGGUCAGGGUCACCCUGAGGGACUGUGACCCUCCCCAGGUGUGGGAUUGUCCCUGGGGUCACCUGUCCUGGGGUCAGGGUCACCUCAGGGGACUGUGACCCUCCCCAGGUGUGGGAUUGUCCCUGGGGUCACCUGUCCUGGGGUCAGGGUCACCUCAGGGGACCGUGGUCCCGAGGUGUGGGGUCACCUGGGGACCCUGGGAUUAGGGCAGCCCAUGGGAUUGGGGUCACCAUGGGGAAUCACGGCCCCCCCAGGAGUGGGACCAUCCCUGGGAUUGUUCCUUUGGGAACCUCUGCCCCCCUCCCCGGGGUGCUGCAGGCCCCUGGUGUGGGACAGGUCCUGGGAUUGGGGUCACCCCAGGGACCUGCUCCCGUUCCUGGAUUGGGGCUGGCACUGGGAUCAGCCCUGGGGAUCUCUCCCUGCCUGGGACUGGUGCCAGCCCCACAUUCGGGGUCUCCUGGGAAUCUGUGCCCCCUCCAAGGCCUGGAGCUGCCCUGGGGAUUGGGAACCCCCAGGAUCUGUCCCCUUCAAGACCCACCCUGUGCCUUCGGGGGGGAUGCCGGGGCUCCAGACCCCCAUUCCCACCUUUCUGGGGGAGCCGUGGUGGGGGCGAGGCUUUGGGGGUGUCCUGGGCGGGCCGGGUGGGGGGCACAGCCCCAUCCCACCGUGGCCACUGCGGUGCUGAGCCGGGGGUCCUGCAGCCACCCCCGGGGCUGGGGACAGAGGGGGGACACGUCUCCUGUGUCGUCUGUCGCUAAACCUUCCAGCGAGCCGGACUGGCGCUCCACGCCCUGCCCUGCAGCCCCCCACCCCGCAUCCCCCUCCCCAUUCCCGGUGUCCCCCCCGGCUGUGCCCCGCUGCCACCGUGUCACCGGCAGGGCUGGGCAGCAGCGUGAGCCCCCCUCCAUCCCCGGCUGCCCCCCACUAACCCCCCACUAACCCCCCGCCCGU